RNAcentral lists this long non-coding RNA (249 nucleotides) under Prunus persica (peach). RNAcentral describes it as "long non-coding RNA (PPER_LNC008463)". Lineage: Eukaryota; Viridiplantae; Streptophyta; Magnoliopsida; Rosales; Rosaceae. The record is from RNAcentral.
UUUUAGUGUAGUUUUUGUUUUGGGCCUUUGGCUCCGCAAUUGAAGUCAUAACCUUUACCCAUUGGCUAUAUGUGCAACUUCAUUACUACAAACCCAAAUAACUUUUUUUCGUUUUUCUUAUUACACAAUCGAGACACCUUUAACUACUUGAGCUACAAUCCUCGUAAAAUGAUGACUUUUCGUUGGACCCAAAAAGAAAUAAACUCUCAUUUUCAUUGGGUUUUAGUACUAGAUAUGCCGACAUGUUUU